RNAcentral lists this ribosomal RNA (830 nucleotides) under uncultured archaeon. RNAcentral's name for it is "bacterial SSU rRNA". It matches the Rfam family "Archaeal small subunit ribosomal RNA", at positions 21 to 859 of the family's 1478-position model. The record is from RNAcentral.
AGGCCACUGCUAUCGGAGUUCGAUUAAGCCAUGCGAGUCGAGAGGUGUAAGACCUCGGCAUACUGCUCAGUAACACGUGGACAACCUACCCUGAAGAGGGGGAUAACCCCGGGAAACUGGGGAUAAUACCCCAUAGACUAUGGAUGCUGGAAUGCUUUGUAGUCGAAAGGUCCGCCGCCGUAGGAUGGGUCUGCGGCCGAUUAGGUUGUUGUUGGGGUAACGGCCCAACGAGCCUGUAAUCGGUACGGGUUGUGGGAGCAAGAGCCCGGAGAUGGAUUCUGAGACACGAAUCCAGGCCCUACGGGGCGCAGCAGGCGCGAAAACUUUACAAUGCGGGAAACCGUGAUAGGGGAACUCCGAGUGCCCGUUAAAUCGGGCUGUCCACCAGUUUAAAUAACUGGUGAAGAAAGGGCCGGGCAAGACCGGUGCCAGCCGCCGCGGUAAUACCGGCGGCUCGAGUGGUGGCCACUAUUACUGGGCUUAAAGCGUUCGUAGCUGGUUUGUUAAGUCUCUGGGGAAAUCUUCCGGCUUAACCGGAAGGCGUCUCAGGGAUACUGGCAGACUAGGGACCGGGAGAGGUGAGGGGUACUCCAGGGGUAGGAGUGAAAUCCUGUAAUCCUUGGGGGACCACCUGUGGCGAAGGCGCCUCACCAGAACGGCUCCGACAGUGAGGGACGAAAGCUGGGGGAGCAAACCGGAUUAGAUACCCGGGUAGUCCCAGCUGUAAACGAUGCGCGUUAGGUGUAUCGGUGACCACGAGUCACCGAGGUGCCGAAGAGAAAUCGUGAAACGUGCCGCCUGGGAAGUACGGUCGCAAGGCUGAAACUCAA